Molecule: long non-coding RNA, 1556 nt
Filed under: Marmota monax (woodchuck)
Lineage: Eukaryota; Metazoa; Chordata; Mammalia; Rodentia; Sciuridae
Source: RNAcentral
CAUAUUUCACCCAGUUGUCUCACAAUGGGGCCUGGUGGGGCUGCAGGAGCUACCUACAAAGGUAUUACAGUCCCACGAUUUGGAGAAAUGCAGAUCUGGAUUCAAAUCCUAGCCACACUAUGUCAGAGUUGAAUGACCUUGGGCAAAUGACUCAAUAUUUCUAACCCUUGGUUUUCUCAUCUAUAAAAUAGAGAUAAUAAAGGUGUGUGCGGGUUAAAUAAAGUAAUCAUGUCUGGCACAUGUUCGAUCCAUGGUCUUUGCUCUUCUUACACUUAUUCCACACCCCAAAUAGGUGGGCAGAUAAUUAGCCAGCUGAGACCAGAGUCCUGUCAUUCCGGGAUUCCGUCUCCAGUCCCCCAGUGCAGGCCAAGUCCAAGCUGUAAGAGCAGGGAUCUGCCCAAGGCUGCCACACUCAGGUCAAAGGUUGGAUAAUGUAGGCCUGGCUGGCCAGGCCCAGGCUCUGCUGUCCAGGAGGGCCCUAUAAACCGCACUUGGAACCUGGAAGAUGGGAAUCGGUGAGUUUCCCAGCGCCUCUGUUUCAAAGCAAAUUUACUAGAAGCAGAAAUAAACGAGGGUGUGGCGGUUCCUUACAUUCAAAACGAAAACAAAAGAAAAGAAAACAAAGAGCCCCCGCCCCAAGCCACCAUGGCUUCGGACCUUUUCCCAGACGCCCGGAGCAGGGGGGGAGCGCGCGCCUUUGUAGUCGCUUCCCCAACUCAGACCUCGGGACGCCGUUGUCUCGGGUCCUCUGGCCUGGGAUCCCGAAUCCCAUAGGCACCUGGGCUUCAAAGUUAAGGCUAACUGGCGGGAUUCGCCCUGCCCAGCCCGGAUUGGAACCACUGGCCCAGACACAUCCACCGCUCACGAGAACGCGCGCUGGGCUCGAUCCGCGCCCCGCCUCGGAAAGCACCCGCUCCCGCGGCCGGAAUCCCGAGAAUGCAGCCGCCCCGGGAAGCAUCUGGCCAGCUUCUGGGCAGUGGGAGGGGCCAAACCUGGAAUUUUUGAAGUGCUUUUUUGCACAAAAUCUCAGAAAGGAUUUCAGCCCCGUGAGGUUGAAGCCCACAAGAGUGAGAAGGAAGCUGUCCACUUCUCCUGGCAGCCUUUGUCCCGGCCUCUCCCCAUCCCCUGCUGGAAAUGCACCCAGACGCCUCUUCCCGGGCUGGAGGAUCCCUUCUUUGUGUCUGCAGGAGGAAGUACUUCCCCAGCUGGAAACCGUCCGAGUCACCCCCAGAAGGCGUUUCCAGCUGGAUUGUCGCCAUCUUGUGGCAAGAUUGGGUGACCACACUGGCCCUUAGCCAGAGCAGCAUACCCAUAACUUUCUUGGGUCCCAAGCACCUUUCUCUUUUCCCAACCAGCUAGGAACUGGAAUUUUAAAAUCAUGUUCCCUGGCUAUAGGAGUUGGGCUGUGGUGCCUCUGUUCCCUCGUCUCCCAAUUGCAUAGGCACGCCUUCGAAAGGCAACUAAGUGUUAGUUGGGAGGUCCAGGAGUGGCCAGGUGCUGCAGGCCUUGUGAGGGGCUCUGCCUCCUGGGGCAUCAUACCUAACCUGAAUGAGUGC